AUUGAACGCUGGCGGCAUGCUUUACACAUGCAAGUCGGACGGCAGCACAGAGAAGCUUGCUUCUUGGGUGGCGAGUGGCGAACGGGUGAGUAACAUAUCGGAACGUACCGAGUAAUGGGGGAUAACUAAUCGAAAAAUUAGCUAAUACCGCAUAUUCUCUGAGGAGGAAAGCAGGGGACCUUCGGGCCUUGCGUUAUUCGAGCGGCCGAUAUCUGAUUAGCUAGUUGGUGGGGUAAAGGCCUACCAAGGCGACGAUCAGUAGCGGGUCUGAGAGGAUGAUCCGCCACACUGGGACUGAGACACGGCCCAGACUCCUACGGGAGGCAGCAGUGGGGAAUUUUGGACAAUGGGCGCAAGCCUGAUCCAGCCAUGCCGCGUGUCUGAAGAAGGCCUUCGGGUUGUAAAGGACUUUUGUCAGGGAAGAAAAGGCUGUUGCUAAUACCGACAGCUGAUGACGGUACCUGAAGAAUAAGCACCGGCUAACUACGUGCCAGCAGCCGCGGUAAUACGUAGGGUGCGAGCGUUAAUCGGAAUUACUGGGCGUAAAGCGAGCGCAGACGGUUACUUAAGCAGGAUGUGAAAUCCCCGGGCUCAACCUGGGAACUGCGUUCUGAACUGGGUGACUAGAGUGUGUCAGAGGGAGGUAGAAUUCCACGUGUAGCAGUGAAAUGCGUAGAGAUGUGGAGGAAUACCGAUGGCGAAGGCAGCCUCCUGGGAUAACACUGACGUUCAUGCUCGAAAGCGUGGGUAGCAAACAGG
RNAcentral lists this ribosomal RNA (759 nucleotides) under Neisseria subflava. RNAcentral describes it as "bacterial SSU rRNA". It matches the Rfam family "Bacterial small subunit ribosomal RNA", at positions 28 to 776 of the family's 1533-position model. Lineage: Bacteria; Pseudomonadati; Pseudomonadota; Betaproteobacteria; Neisseriales; Neisseriaceae. The record is from RNAcentral.